UAACAGAAUAACACAAUAUAAGUUUGAGUUCUAUUUAAAGGUGCUGUAGAACGUGUUUUCAAAAGAUGUAAUAUAAGUCUCAGGUGUCCCCUGAAUGUGUCUGUGAAGUUUCAGCUCAAAAUACCCCAUAGAUUUUUUUUUUAUUCAUUUUUUUUUUUUUUAACUGCCUAUUUUGGGGCAUUAUUAAAUAUGCGCCGAUUCAGGCUGCGGCCCCUUUAAAUUCUCAUGCUCCCCGCCCCCGGAGCUCGCGCUUGCCUUAAACAGCAUAAACAAAGUUCACACAGCUAAUAUAACCCUCAAAAUGGAUCUUUACAAAGUGUUCGUCAUGCAGCAUGUCUAAUCGCAUAGGAACAGGAAGUAAUGCAAGAAGAACCAUCAGUACUCAGGAGAUGGCUCCCUCUGGCAGUCGGAGGAAUGGAUGGCGGAUGCAGAUGUUACACAUGUAAAAAGAUCAGCGGAAAAGAGUCAUUAGGAGUCCACAGAGUAAGAGAGAGAGAGAGAGAGAGAGAAAGGAAGAGAGCAACUGGUGCAAAGGCUCAUUCGAAGCACACAGGGGGACUGUAGUGUCCCUGGCCUCUCAUUCUUCAAGACCACAAUGUGAACGUCUCCACCUUCACAUGCAGCUUUCAAGCGAGCAGUCACCCGUUCAGACCGACUCAGCGAGAGCUUUGACAUUGGUGCAUUUAUGACUGCACCUGACCACAUCAUCAAUCAGCUCUGGCCCCCGGUUCAGUCGUCCCCUAUUUUCUAAUUUUGUCUAGGAUAAAUGUUUUAAGCAAAUGACAAAUGUUACAGAAAUUAAUCUAUUUUCCUCUGAAGAAUUUGAAAUUAAUUAGUGCCUUUGGUUUAAUUUAUUCCUUUCUUGUGACAUUAAGAUUUUCAGAAUGAGAACUUAUGGACCAUUUUCACUUGGUAUGGUAAUUAAAUUGAGACAAUAAAAAAAUUAAUAUACCUGA
Long non-coding RNA from Ctenopharyngodon idella (grass carp), 956 nucleotides. RefSeq lists it as uncharacterized. The record is from RefSeq and is a predicted model, not a curated record. The transcript has 3 exons. Lineage: Eukaryota; Metazoa; Chordata; Actinopteri; Cypriniformes; Xenocyprididae.